GGGCCUUUAGCUCAGUUGGUUAGAGCGCGCCCCUGAUAAGGACGAGGUCGAAGGUCCGAGCCCUUUAAGGCCCACCA
This 77-nucleotide transfer RNA is filed under the name Firmicutes bacterium CAG:345. Its description in RNAcentral is "transfer RNA-Ile(GAT)". It matches the Rfam family "tRNA". Rfam says of the family: Transfer RNA (tRNA) molecules are approximately 80 nucleotides in length. RNAcentral also lists the same sequence under 1 other name. Lineage: Bacteria; Bacillati; Bacillota. The record is from RNAcentral.